GACGAACGCUGGCGGCGUGCUUAACACAUGCAAGUCGAACGGAAAGGCCCUGCUUUUGUGGGGUGCUCGAGUGGCGAACGGGUGAGUAACACGUGAGUAACCUGCCCUUGACUUUGGGAUAACUUCAGGAAACUGGGGCUAAUACCGGAUAGGAGCUCCUGCUGCAUGGUGGGGGUUGGAAAGUUUCGGCGGUUGGGGAUGGACUCGCGGCUUAUCGGCUUGUUGGUGGGGUAGUGGCUUACCAAGGCUUUGACGGGUAGCCGGCCUGAGAGGGUGACCGGCCACAUUGGGACUGAGAUACGGCCCAGACUCCUACGGGAGGCAGCAGUGGGGAAUAUUGCACAAUGGGCGGAAGCCUGAUGCAGCAACGCCGCGUGCGGGAUGACGGCCUUCGGGUUGUAAACCGCUUUCGCCUGUGACGAAGCGUGAGUGACGGUAAUGGGUAAAAAAGCACCGGCUAACUACGUG
RNAcentral lists this ribosomal RNA (468 nucleotides) under uncultured bacterium. RNAcentral's name for it is "partial 16S ribosomal RNA". It matches the Rfam family "Bacterial small subunit ribosomal RNA", at positions 28 to 507 of the family's 1533-position model. The record is from RNAcentral.